This 440-nucleotide ribosomal RNA is filed under the name uncultured bacterium. RNAcentral describes it as "partial 16S ribosomal RNA". It matches the Rfam family "Bacterial small subunit ribosomal RNA", at positions 338 to 795 of the family's 1533-position model. The record is from RNAcentral.
CCUACGGGAGGCAGCAGUGGGGGAUAUUGCACAAUGGGGCGAACCCUGAUGCAGCGACGCCGCGUGAGCGAAGAAGUCCCUCUGUAUGUAAAGCUCUAUCAGCAGGGAAGAAAAUUACGGUACCUGACUAAGAAUCCCCGGCUAAAUACGUGCCAGCCGCCGCGGUAAUACGUAUGGGGCAAGCGUUAUCCGGAUUUACUGGGUGUAACGGGAGCGCAGGCGGCCUGCCAAGUCUGGUGUGAAAACCCGGGGCCCAACCCCGGGCCUGCAUUGGAAACUGGCGGGCUGGAGUGUAGGAGGGGCAGGCGGAAUUCCUAGUGUAGCGGUGAAAUGCGUAGAUAUUAGGAGGAACACCGGUGGCGAAGGCGGCCUGCUGGACGAUGACUGACGCUGAGGCUCGAAAGCGUGGGGAGCAAACAGGAUUAGAUACCCUUGUAGUC